AACGAACGCUGGCGGCGCGUUUUUAAGCAUGCAAGUCGAAGGAUGCGAUUUUAGCAAUAGAGUCGUAGACUGGCGAACGGGUGAGUAACACGUGAAAAUCUAUCUUAAGAUGGGGGAUAGUCGGUAGAAAUACCGGGUAAUACCGCAUGUGCCGAGAGGUGAAAGCUCCAAUUGGAGCGUCUUUAGAUGAGUUUGCGUUCCAUUAGCUAGUUGGUGGGGUAAUGGCCUACCAAGGCGACGAUGGAUAGCCGGCCUGAGAGGGUGUACGGCCACAUUGGGACUGAGACACGGCCCAGACUCCUACGGGAGGCAGCAGCUAAGAAUAUUCCGCAAUGGGACAAUCCUGACGGAGCGACGCCGCGUGUAUGAUGAAGGCAGAAAUGUUGUAAAGUACUUUUGCGCGGGAGAAUAAUGAUAGGAGUGGAAAGUCUAUCAGAUGACGGUACCGCGCGAAUAAGCCACGCUAACUACGUGCCAGCAGCCGCGGUAA
RNAcentral lists this ribosomal RNA (490 nucleotides) under uncultured bacterium. RNAcentral describes it as "bacterial SSU rRNA". It matches the Rfam family "Bacterial small subunit ribosomal RNA", at positions 29 to 523 of the family's 1533-position model. The record is from RNAcentral.